Molecule: transfer RNA, 71 nt
Filed under: Abrus yunshanensis
Lineage: Eukaryota; Metazoa; Arthropoda; Insecta; Hemiptera; Cicadellidae
Description: tRNA-Asn
Source: RNAcentral
UUAAUUGAAGCCAAGGAAGGAGAGAGGCAUCUUAAUGUUAAUAAGAGAAAUGAUUUUUUAAUCCAAUUAAU